AGCAGCCGCGGUAAUUCCAGCUCCAAUAGCGUAUAUUAAAGUUGUUGCAGUUAAAAAGCUCGUAGUUGAAUUUCGGGAUCAGUAUGUUGGUCGUGCUUCGGUACGUACUGUCAUUACUGGUUUCUACCUUCUGAAGAACCAUGAUGUCAUUAAUUUGGUGUCAUGGGGAAUCAGGACUGUUACUUUGAAAAAAUUAGAGUGUUUAAAGCAGGCUCGCGCUUGAAUACAUUAGCAUGGAAUAAUGAAAUAGGACGUUUGAUUCUAUUUUGUUGGUUUCUAGGAUCGACGUAAUGAUUAAUAGGGAUAGUUGGGGGCAUUAGUAUUCAAUUGUCAGAGGUGAAAUUCUUGGAUUUAUUGAAGACUAACUACUGCGAAAGCAUUUGCCAAGGAUGUUUUCAUUAAUCAAGAACGAAAGUUAGGGGAUCGAAGACGAUCAGAUACCGUCGUAGUCUUAACCAUAAACUAUGCCGACUAGGGAUCGGAUGAUGUAUUUUAAUGA
RNAcentral lists this small RNA (499 nucleotides) under uncultured Entrophospora. Its description in RNAcentral is "SSU rRNA". It matches the Rfam family "Eukaryotic small subunit ribosomal RNA", at positions 569 to 1074 of the family's 1831-position model. Lineage: Eukaryota; Fungi; Glomeromycota; Glomeromycetes; Entrophosporales; Entrophosporaceae. The record is from RNAcentral.